CCUAGCCUACGGGGGGCAGCAGUAGGGAAUCUUCCACAAUGGGCGAAAGCCUGAUGGAGCAACGCCGCGUGGGUGAAGAUGGUCUUCGGAUCGUAAAACCCUGUUGUUAGAGAAGAAAGUGCGUGAGAGUAACUGUUCACGUUUCGACGGUAUCUAACCAGAAAGCCACGGCUAACUACGUGCCAGAAGCCGCGAUAAUACGUAGGUGGCAAGCGUUAUCCGGAUUAAUUGGGCGUAAAGGGAACGAAGGCGGUCUUUU
Molecule: ribosomal RNA, 259 nt
Filed under: uncultured bacterium
Lineage: Bacteria
Description: partial 16S ribosomal RNA
Rfam family: Bacterial small subunit ribosomal RNA
Source: RNAcentral